Molecule: unclassified non-coding RNA, 1362 nt
Filed under: uncultured fungus
Lineage: Eukaryota; Fungi
Description: sequence contains 18S rRNA gene, ITS1, 5.8S rRNA gene, ITS2, 28S rRNA gene
Rfam family: Eukaryotic large subunit ribosomal RNA (bases 418-1362)
Source: RNAcentral
AGAUGGAUCAUUCAUAUUUUAAUGUUCAUUACGUGGUUAUUCGUGUAACAAAUGAAUCGAGUGAAAAUGGUGCAUGUCAUGCGAAAAAAAAAUUAAUGCAUGUGGUUUACUGAAACUAAGACAUUUAUGAAAAGUUGUUUUACAUCUUUCAGCGAUGGAUGUCUCGGAUCCCGUAACGAUGAAGAACGCAGCUAGCUGCGAGAUGCAGUGUGACAUGCGAACUUCUGUGAAUCAUUAGAUUUUUGAACGCAAAAGGUACUUCUAAAUUUUAGAAGUAUGUUUACUUCAGUGCUUUUAUUUAUUUGUUGCCCUAAUUGGGGGUCAACGUGAUUAGUUGCUGUGAUAACGGUGACUUGAAACUACUGGAUAUAAACUUUAUGUGGUUACUUAAGUUUCAUAUCUAAGUUGAUUUUUUAUAAGCCUGAAUUUAAGCAAGUAUACCCGCUGAACUUAAGCAUAUUAUUAGGCGGAGGAAAAGAAACUAACUAGGAUUUCCUUAGUAACGGCGAGUGAACAGGAAAUAGCUCAAACUGAAAAUCGGCAGUUUACUGUCGAAUUGUAGUCUCAUGAAAUGCAGCCUGUAAAUGUUUUGAAUUAAGUCUCUUGGAAAAGAGUACCACAGAGGGUGAAAGUCCCGUCUGUAUUUAGAACUAUUUACUUUCGGUGCAUUUUCAAAGAGUCGCGUUCCUUGAGAUUGGAGCGCUAAGUGGGUGAUAAACUUCAUCUAAAGCUAAAUAAUAACGGGAUUCCGAUAGCACACAAGUACCGUGAGGGAAAGGUGAAAAGAACUUUGAAAAGAGAGUUAAAAGGUACUGAAAUUGCUGAAAUGGAAGUGGAAAGUUUCAAUGGUUUAGCUAAAUUUUUCAUGUACUGUGAAUAAAUUUUUUAUUUACAUGUAUGUGGUAAAAAUUUGCGGUGACUUUGGAAGUGAUUAUUCAUACUGAUGACAGUAUUGAUAGGCCCUAUUUUAGGACCACAUCUUUAUUGUUCUCAAACUGAGUGAUCUGCGUAUUUCUACUCAACAAUACUGUUGUGUUAUACUCUUCCAAAAAUAUUGAUUCUGUCCUCCCCGUCUUGAAACACGGACCAAGGAGUCUAUUUUAUGUGCGAGUACAAGGGCUGAAAACCUAUGUGCGAAAUAAAAGUAAUAGUUAGGAUGGUUUUUCCUGCACUAACACUCGUUCACUGAACCGAAGUUGAGCACAUAGAAUAGGACCCGAAAGAUGGUGAACUAUGCCUGAGUAGGGUGAAGCUAGAGGAAACUCUGGUGGAGGCUCGUAGCGAUACUGACGUGCAAAUCGUUCGUCAAACUUUGGUAUAGGGGCGAAAGACCAAUCGAACCAUCUAGUAGCUGGUUCCUUC